UUUUUUUUUUGGAUAUUGAACCCCAGAGAACUGCUCUGAAACUGGUAAAUGGUCUCAUUAUGUAACUUUGUGCUCCUGGUGACAAGCAUUUACAAACUCUCCUUUCACAAACAAUGUAAUUAAGUUAAAAAUUACAGCCCAGCACACCAAACUAAUGGGAAUCAAGGCAGGUCUCAUGGGUUCCUCCCUGUUCUCCUACAGAUCCCUUGGCAUCAGGCAGGAUGCAGCCCUGGAAGCAGCUCUCCAGCCACCCCCCAGCUUAUUUAGGGAUGGAGGCUGCCAUCCUCAGAGCUGCACAGAUGGAAAAAGGGAUGAAUUUGAGUUGUUGCAGUGUGCCAUGCUGAAGGCAUCCCUAAAAUGUACAAGGAAACAAGAUUCCUGGUGGGACCAACACUGCUGACCAGCAUUGUCAGGGAACCCCCCUGGGUUAGGACAUCAUAAGAAAAAACACCUGCAGCCUGGCACUGGGAGGAGAAACCUCUCUGAUGUAAAUGAACGUGCAAUAAAUGCAGGUUCCUGGUGAGUUGGCUCCAUCCAGGCCAGCCGUGAGGCUUCUGCCAGCUCAGGGACCUCACUUCCAUCAAGAACUGAAUAGAUUUUGGUCACUUUGAUACCCCAACCCCCUUCCUAAGGGUCAUUCAUAAUAGAAGAAAAUACUCUUAAGGGUGUGGUGAGGAUUCCUGAACCCCACGUCUUCCUUUUUCCAGGAUGGACUUCUUUCUCCUUCUUUCUCCUCUUGUAUUCAUAUCAAUUUAUGAUUUUACAGCUGAAGCUGCUCCAGCUCAGAGGUAGAAGGUAACAUUUUCCAGUAAUCACAGGCGGGUUGUGUGGCCAAACAUGGGCUGUGGUUUUCGAGGUGGAGCUCUCAGGAGAACAUUCCUGUGGCUCAGCCCCGGGGAUGGAUGUGCCCGUCCUGGGGAUGUGCCAGCCCCUGGGAUGUGCCAGCCCCUGGGAUGUGCCAGUCCUGGGGAUGUUCCAGCCCCUGGGACGUGCUGCCCGGCUGCCAGGCAGGAACACGCCCCGCAAGCCCGGCAGCCAGGAGUGAGAUAAGGACCGGAGGGGAAAUGGCACUGCCAAGACACACGGACUGCAGAGGAGGAGGAGGAAGGCAUCACAGGAGGAAGCAAGGACAGGAACGUGCCUGCAGGCAUGAAGCAUUGGUGGAUCCAGCACCCCAGACCUUCUCACGUGGAGCUUAGGGACAAAGGUGCUGGGAAAAAAACCCAAACAAAACCAACCAAACAAAAAACCACAAAAAAAACCCAACAAAACAAACAAACAAACAAACAAACAAAAAAACCCCCCAGUUUUUUACAGAGUGAUAAAGUUCUGGAAUGGCCUGCCCGGGGAGGUGGUGGAAUCACCAUCCCUAGAUGUGUUUAACAAAGCCUGGAUGUGGCACUGGGCGCCAGGGUUUAGUUGAGGCGUUGAGGCUGGGUUGAACUUGAUGAUCCUGAAGGUCUGUUCCAACCCAGUAAUUCUGUGAAUUCUGUGAAUUCUGUGAAUUCUUUCAGCAGGCCCAGAACACCCACUGGCUACAAAAGGUGUGAUGAGAAAGCUGUACUUUAAGUACCCCAAAGAAUGAUUUUUGUUUUUCCCCCUAAAUUAUCCCUGCUGUACAUCAUAGCAGAUUUUUGCCCUUUUUUCCAGAGGACAAUAACCCACAGCCUCCACAGUGUCGAUGUGACAGCUGCAUUUCUGUACACACUGACGUCAUCUUUUUGUCCUCCUUUGGUAAACACACCAUAAAGCUUUUCCUGUGCUCACCGAGACCUCACCUUCUUAUUGUCAGUGCUAAUAAUAUUUCUUGCCCUGCCAGAGACCAAGAAGCCUCCAGAAAAUGUUCAAGUGGCAGAAAAAUAAAUGCUGAGUGACCAUAGAGAAAAAUAUAAUUUCUUCUUUCUCACACAGAAAUAAUUUCAGAAGGAAGGAAUUGUUCAGGCAAAUUGAAGAUCAUGUAGCCAAGAGUGAGUUUGCCCCGAGGCUGAUGAGGACUCUAGGUUCUCUCUGGCUCUCUGCCUGGUGUGGUGGGGAACAAUGAAUGGGAGACAUCUCCUCCAGUUCCUAACACAGCUCACCCAAAAUGCCUUGGCUUGAGCUCUGGGGACCAGAGAUCAUGGGCAAGAUCACACUGCAUCCCCUGCAUCCCCUUGUGCUCCCCAAAUGUGGAACAUUAGCCUAGACACAGACAUGUAGUGUUUCCUGUCUGCCAUGGACCCUGUCUCGUGUGGGUCUUGGGGAAGAGAGAAAAUUGGAAUAAUUUCUCCCUCUGCAUAUCAUGAGAGCUGGAUGUGAUUUCAGAGUUGUUUAAACUUCUCUGAUGUGAAAUGCCAAUGUCAUUGAAAAUCUCUUCCUAUGAACUCCGUGGGUUUCUGUUGGCUGGUGUCUGAAGCCAUUCUUCACCCAGUGUGUGAUCCCUGCUGCAGCUGGCAGGCUGUAUCAGAUACAAGGUUUUAGAAAAGGUGUUAUCACAUCCUGUACUCCCACUGAAAUUAGAGCAUGUGAAUGGGAAGCUUUUAUUUCAUCUCUAAACCAGGUACAUGAUUUGACACACUUUUCCUAUUCUCUGUGAUUUUAAGAAGAAAGAAAACCAAAACAUUUGAUCAACUGCAGCCAGAUAUCCAACAGACUAAAGCUGAAAGGAUCAUCAAAUACAUGAUCCAAUGUGGCCCAUCUCAAGCAUCCCAAAACUAUGAGUUGAAAUAAAAUGAGUUGGUACUACUGCUCUACAGAGCAGAGACAUGAGAUGUAUCCCCAUACUCUUGUUUUCAGCUUUCAAGUGGCCACCCCUUUCUUAGCAGGUUUCUGUGGCUUUCCAGCCGGGCUACCUGAAGACAUGAACAAACUGUCAAUCUCCUGCACUUUCUGGAGGCUUUCUCGUCUAGGGAGACGAAGCUCUGCAAAGUGCAGCUCUGCAAAGAGCAGCUCUGCAGGCAGUGAGGAGAUUUCUGUUCCUCCAGUGAGACAGGCUGGGGACAGAACUGACAUUCCAGCCACCAGACCCACAUGCUCGCUUCUGGAUUUCUGGACCAAAUCGCCACGUACCUCCGUACCGUGUCCCCGGCUACCCGGCCGAUGCCCGUCCCGGUUCCGCAGGGCUCACCCAUCCCCCGGGAUCCGGC
This is a long non-coding RNA of Taeniopygia guttata (zebra finch), 3122 nucleotides long. NCBI's taxonomy places the organism in Eukaryota, Metazoa, Chordata, Aves, Passeriformes, Estrildidae. The record is from Ensembl.